AUACUUACCUGGACGUGGUCUAUGGCUGAUCAAGAAGGGUUAUGGUCUAGGUUGGUGAUCUCCAUUGCACUUUGGAGAACCAUCAACCUAACAUCUUCCCAAGUGGGAGAGUGUACGUCAUAAUUUGUUACUUUGGGGUUACGCGUUCGCGCGGCCCUUGU
Molecule: small nuclear RNA, 161 nt
Filed under: Zostera marina
Lineage: Eukaryota; Viridiplantae; Streptophyta; Magnoliopsida; Alismatales; Zosteraceae
Description: U1 spliceosomal RNA
Rfam family: U1 spliceosomal RNA
About the family: U1 is a small nuclear RNA (snRNA) component of the spliceosome (involved in pre-mRNA splicing). Its 5' end forms complementary base pairs with the 5' splice junction, thus defining the 5' donor site of an intron. There are significant differences in sequence and secondary structure between metazoan and yeast U1 snRNAs, the latter being much longer (568 nucleotides as compared to 164 nucleotides in human).
Source: Rfam by way of RNAcentral